UCUUUCUUCUCCCCCGCAGCCUCGCUAUCUUCGUCUUCGUUGCAAGCUGCAGCCUGCAGUACAGACCUCGUGUUCAAGUACGAGGGGUCCUCCGGAAAAUUUCUAGUAGCAUUUUAGAAUCGCCGAGGGGUCCUGGGACCUCCCAGGUUCCUCUGUAGAUCCGUCUCUGCUUAUAACACAUUUUCAUCAUUUUCGUUAAAACUCAAAAUUUUCAAACUUUUUUCAUUAGUUUUUCUUUAAAUUUAUGAGACCUUCAUUUUCAUCUCAUGUUACCAAAACACAAGACGAUAAACUCGAUGUCCUGACCAAUAAACCCCUUCCUUCUAACCCUAUUUUCCUUUCUAGCGCAUAUCUUCACCACCGCACAACAAACUACUCUCUCUCUCUCUCUCUUUCUCUCUCGCUCUCUCAUCUGAUCGAUCUGUCUUGAAUCGUGGUGUCCUAAUCUUAGCUAGACAAACCGAUAAAUUUACACAGGCCUCUAGCUACAAGCUAAGAUGCAUAAAUAUCACAAUUAGUUCGAGCUCAGGAUUAAAGGUGGAUCGGAGGCAUGGAAAACGCUCGCUUCCUUCAGAAGCAUCAGAGGAGAAAGAGAGGGAGGGUCGUCCCCACCACCAUGAUCUCCCUUCUGACUACGAAUCUUCCUGGACGGAAGCUGGCAUGUCAGCCAUGGUUUCUGCUCUCACUCAAGAUUGGAACCACCGAAGAUCAUGCUACCGUGAAACCAAACCCUACGUUCAUCUCAGAUUCAUCACUCCUAGUCAAACAAGAACCCGACCGCUCUCAACCGGUUCAAGAUCAAGGCAAGUCACCACUUAAGCCAUAUUAUAUUGUAUUAACGGAUGGAUUAUUACCAGAACUACUAAGUCAGCGACAGCUCCCAACGCGAGGCCGGUUUCAAAGAGGCAUACUCGUACAUGUGCCUGCGGCCCCAUGUCUCCAUCUACAAAAGUCUUACAUGGAAUCGAACUACUUGUAAGAAGGUGAAGAAUGGAAUGUAAGUACCCACCACAACCUGACCAAGCAAAGCAACAUCCAUACAAUAAAAUAAUGAGUUGCAUCACAUUAAUUAGUCGCACACGCAUACCUGAAUAAGUUUGAUAAAAUUUGAUAAUUAAUUCAUAUAUAUAUAAAAUAAUUAUAAUUUGUUCAACGAUCAGAUAUCACUUACGCUCUCACAACUAAGUUUAACAAAACUUAAAUGAGGUCGUUAUCAAGAGGACACAGUAAUACAGUUUAAGACGAGGGUCGUAGAAGCCUCGACAAGAAUUUGAUACCGACCCCAAAGUCUAUAGGAACAUUUUGGCAUGCAUGCUUAUUGUUCUAUUUAUUUUAUUAGGGGAAGUUUCUCUUUAUUAUUUCAAUCUGUAAGUUAUAUGGGGGCACUUGUUUGGACUUUGGAGGGAGAAUAUACAUCUGUAUUAGGUUAGGGAGAAGCUGAGCACGAGCGUGAAGAGGUGAAAAGGAUCUGAUAAUACAGUGAGAGAAAAAGUAAUUAUUGAGGUGAGCAGAAUCUUUAAGAGAAAGAAUCUUUAUUUUUUUCAAAAUGAGGAUUAGUGUUGGGACUUAUACCAAAUCGAACUUUAACGAUCCAAAUUAUUUAUUUUUCAAGUUGCACUUCAUAGAUCAUUUUUGCAAAAUAUUAGCCAAAUCAAAAAUAUUUGAGGCAUCUAAUUGAGUUUAAAAAAUUUGACAAACACUAUGUUCUAAGAAAUAUUGAAAUUUCAACAUGACAAUUAAUUAGGUAAAUGGUUUUGGAUUGAAUUGAAUUUUUACAAAAAUGAUUUAUGAAUCAAGACUUAUAAACUAUAUAGCUCGGAUCGUUGAAGCUUGAUGUGUUGUGGAUUUCACAACUAAUCUCCAAUUUUUUUUUAUAAAUAAUGUGGACCCCUUCUGAAGGGGCUUGGUCAGGUCAGAGGCAAAACCCGACUAUGCCUCGGCUACUGCUAGCAAGAGCUGGUGGUAGUACUGUAAUCUGUAGUCCCUUUCAUAUUUAUGGAAGGAUUGCUUGAGGAGGAGGAGGAGGAUCUUGGAAUCAGCUGGAAAAUGAUUGUGAUGUGGACGGUUGAAUUAUUGAAUUUGCAUGCAUGCAUGUAUACGAAAUAAUAUUGCUUCGUCACGACACUUACAAAAUGCUAUUAUAUAGUACAUAUUUUUAUUUCUCGAAGAAGUUGAAGAUAAAGCUGCUGCAGGAGGGACGAAGGGAUAUCUUAUGUAAGCAUGAAAGAGAUGAGAAUACAUGUGGAUUGAUUGUCCGUAGUUGAAUCUACAUGUGCAUGUAAUCUUUCCCACAUGCGGUCGAUCGAGCUUCAUAAAAUUUAAAAUAAAAAGAGACAACAAAGAAAAGUGGGUAUAUAUGUCUCCAUACAUAGAUAUAGUGUGUAUACAUGAACAAGUGGGUAUGCUUGUACGGUUGUCGCAUCUGCCUAUGAAGGUGCACGGUGCACUUUCCCAUCUAAAUAAAUUGUAAUCACAAAUCAAA
This is an RNA transcript of Pyrus x bretschneideri (Chinese white pear), 2482 nucleotides long. RefSeq lists it as uncharacterized. The transcript is spliced from 3 exons. The record is from RefSeq and is a predicted model, not a curated record. NCBI's taxonomy places the organism in Eukaryota, Viridiplantae, Streptophyta, Magnoliopsida, Rosales, Rosaceae.